This 208-nucleotide unclassified non-coding RNA is filed under the name soil metagenome. RNAcentral's name for it is "partial contains 5.8S ribosomal RNA, internal transcribed spacer 2, and large subunit ribosomal RNA". The record is from RNAcentral.
AACCUUAUGGACCUGCGGGCGUAUACCUGCGGAAGGAUCAUUACUGAGUGAGGGCCUUCGGGCUCGACCUCCAACCCUUUGUGAACACAACUUGUUGCUUCGGGGGCGACCCUGCCGUUUCGACGGCGAGCGCCCCCGGAGGCCUUCAAACACUGCAUCUUUGCGUCGGAGUUUAAGUAAAUUAAACAAAACUUUUAGCAAUGGAUCU